Molecule: long non-coding RNA, 2234 nt
Organism: Anastrepha ludens (Mexican fruit fly)
Lineage: Eukaryota; Metazoa; Arthropoda; Insecta; Diptera; Tephritidae
Exons: 3
Source: RefSeq, a predicted model, not a curated record
UUUUGUCGUUUGUUACACAAAACUCAACCGCUGCCGAAGAUGUGUUUGCCGUCGUCGUCGUUGUCGUUGUCGUUGGCGUUGUCGUUGGUGUGUGGCAUGCGACGAUGACUAUGGGAGAAUCCGCCGUCACAGCCGCUCGACACUAUCGCAUGUGAAACAUUCAAUGCCGCCGCUGCCACCACUACCACUACUACUACUACCAACGCAGCUUUGUGGCGAAUGUUUAUAGAUUUUCAGUCGAAUUUUGUUAUUUCACGUACAAAGUGGCGCGCGCGGGCCGCCGCUCUAACAAAUCAAAUCGUAGUGACGCUAGUGAAUAAAUUGUGUCGAAAAACGUAGUAACAAAAAAAAAAAAAAAAAAAAUAAAAAAUAAAUGAACUAAACAAAAACAUAUAAAGUAAUAACGAAGAAAAUUUAGUUUGUGAGAAGUGCAAGCAAGUGAAAAAGGUGGGUUAUAUUGAGAUGCAAAGGUAUUGAUUGCAAUUCGAAUGAAUUCAAGGCGUUUUUGCAAAUACUAAAUGAUUGUUAAAUUCAUAAAAAAUGAAAUGAAACUUUUUCAUACCAUUUAACGACAUUUUUAGGCGGAAACAAAAGUAAUUACGUGCAUAAAUUACAUUACAAUUGAAAAAGUAUCCUCUAAGACCUAAAAAAGUUGGGCAAUAAAUGUGCAACGGAAGUGAGAUAUUAAAUAAAUUAAAUCAUUGAAUAUUUAUUGGAAUUAUCAGUUGUUAGUUGCCGGAUGUUGCCGCCUAAGGAAUAAUUGCAGAAAUGAAAAAGCAAAAAGCGCGAAUUGAAGCAGCAGAGCCUGUCAACGCAGACAACCGUUUAUGGAUAGUGUAAAUUGUAGCAAAGCGAUUAUUUGCGGCAAUAAAAUGCGGCGACUGACUUGGCAUAGAAAUUGAAAAUUAUAAAGUGAACAGCACACAAAACAAAAAAAAAACAAAAACAGUUAAAUUUAAAUAUGAAAAAAAUGCCACCAGAAGCCUGUGAAAAGUGAGCAAUGUAGCAAGUGAUAACGGUUAAAGAUAUGCGUUAUAUUAUGACAAAAAAGUGCAGCAAAAAACUUUCUACUAAAAUCUUAGCUUUCCACAACUUUUGCGUAUUUCAUUCUCAUACGCCUUUCCGCUUAAAAAUUACCAGCAGCGCAAUAAACUUUCGAAAAUGUAAUUGCAAAUUUAAGUUAACACGAAUAAUCAAAUAAAGAGUUGUUAAUGCAAUACUUAAAUGAACCAAUUAUCAGAUCAUUACACGGGCGCGCUCACAUUUCAAUCGACUUUAUGUAAAAAGUUACAGAAAAAUUGAUGAUCCACGCAAGUAGUAAUAAAUACAUGCCUAUGCACAUAACUAUACGCCAUACUGAGAAGCAAACAACAAAAACCAAAAACAAAAAAGUUACAUAAAUUAAAUAAAACCACAAUAAACUACAUUUAUUAUAACAAUACGAAAAAAUUGUGUGGUGCAGCCUUGCGUAAAAAAAUAUUUACAAUUAAACAACAGUAAAAAGGUGAAAUAAUUGCAUUGCAAUUGGUAAUUAAAACACAUUAAUCAGCAGCAUCAAAAGCCGUUACUGCAAAUUACAACACGAACCGUACAACAAAGCGUGCUGAAUUUGCAACGCAUGCGCCACAAUCAACACUUUUCAAAAGAGCAGCAACUAUUGCCGCUUGACAGAUGUACUUGAGCACCAACAGCUGAAAUAGUUAGAAGAAAGAAAGAAAAACCAAAAACAUUAACUAAACAUUAACCACGCGACGUUGCACGCAUACACGUGUCUUCAUUGCACGCAUGCGCAAGCUUCGGCUCUCGCUCUCGCUGUCGUUCUCAUUGGUUUGUGCUCUCACCUGAUAGCAGUGCAUUUUUCGCAGUGGUCACUUGAAUGAGCAGAGUUGCCACGCUGCUACGUCUAAUUAAGACAUUGGAUUAGUGCUUCACAUUUUUCGUUUCAUCAAGAGCCUGUAGCUACAGCCUUCAAAGUGGAUUUAACAAAUUAUAAUAAAUUGCUGCAGUCCAGCAAUCAAUAUUUGCGGCCAGAUUAUCUGGCCGCACCGAAUGCGGUGAGUUUUGUUAUAUGAAUUUAAAUGGUCAGAAAUGAUAUCUGGCAGGAUGUUUCUGUCAAUAUUUAGAAAUCCAAUACACUGACUGGUUUGAAUAAAGCAAUGCAAAAUACGGUAAGCUUUAAUAAUAUACAUACAUAAGAGCGCGUUUAAAUGACUGGCGAAAAUAUGUUGAGUAGC